RNAcentral lists this small RNA (317 nucleotides) under Pan troglodytes (chimpanzee). Its description in RNAcentral is "processed transcript". The record is from RNAcentral. Lineage: Eukaryota; Metazoa; Chordata; Mammalia; Primates; Hominidae.
GGUAUCCGUAGGUCCGGGGCACUUUUUUUUUUGGUGUGUGUGUGUGCGCGCGUGUGUGUGUUGGGUGUGUGUGUUUUGGGGGUUUGCCGGGGCGCGGAGAGGAGAGCCGGGCCGAGGGGAAGGAAGGAAGCCGUAGAGCUCCCCGGUCUCGGGCUGCGUCUCCCCUCCCGCGCUCUCCUGCCUGUGCGCUCCGACGCGGCAGCGGCGGUGGCGCUGAGCGCUCCUCGCUGGGGACGCGGUGCUCAAGCUGGGAGCAGCGAGAACCCUUUGCGGAGGCUUCCCACGGAACAGCAGGCUCUCCUCUCCGAGGGGGGGCG